CGUUAAGCUCAGUUGGUAGAGUCGUAGUUGACUUUUAAUCAAUUGGUCGCAGGUUCGAAUCCUGCACG
RNAcentral lists this transfer RNA (68 nucleotides) under Salmonella enterica subsp. enterica serovar Hillingdon. Its description in RNAcentral is "tRNA-Lys". The stretch from base 6 to 65 matches the Rfam family "tRNA", at positions 9 to 63 of the family's 71-position model. From Rfam's summary of the family: Transfer RNA (tRNA) molecules are approximately 80 nucleotides in length. Their secondary structure includes four short double-helical elements and three loops (D, anti-codon, and T loops). The record is from RNAcentral. Lineage: Bacteria; Pseudomonadati; Pseudomonadota; Gammaproteobacteria; Enterobacterales; Enterobacteriaceae.